AACUCAAAGGAAUUGACGGGGGCCCGCACAAGCGGAGGAGCAUGUGGUUUAAUUCGAUGAUACGCGAGGAACCUUACCUGGGCUCGAACGUAAGAUGACUGUAGGUGAAAGCUUACAUCUCUUCGGAGCAUUUUACGAGGUGCUGCAUGGUUGUCGUCAGCUCGUGCCGUGAGGUGUCGGGUUAAGUCCCGUAACGAGCGCAACCCUUGUCCUUAGUUACCAGCACGUUAUGGUGGGCACUCUAAGGAGACUGCCGGUGACAAACCGGAGGAAGGUGGGGAUGACGUCAAGUCAUCAUGGCCCUUACGGCCUGGGCUACACACGUGCUACAAUGGUCGGUACAAAGGGUUGCCAAGCCGCGAGGUGGAGCUAAUCCCAUAAAACCGAUCGUAGUCCGGAUCGCAGUCUGCAACUCGACUGCGUGAAGUCGGAAUCGCUAGUAAUCGUGAAUCAGAAUGUCACGGUGAAUACGUUCCCGGGCCUU
RNAcentral lists this ribosomal RNA (484 nucleotides) under uncultured Pseudomonas sp. RNAcentral's name for it is "bacterial SSU rRNA". It matches the Rfam family "Bacterial small subunit ribosomal RNA", at positions 898 to 1382 of the family's 1533-position model. The record is from RNAcentral. Lineage: Bacteria; Pseudomonadati; Pseudomonadota; Gammaproteobacteria; Pseudomonadales; Pseudomonadaceae.